AGUUCCGAGUGUCGCGCGAAUGUCUCAUUCACAACAUCCGUGAAUUAUGUCACACCUACAAUAAACUGUGAUCAUCUAUCGAUAUGGGGUGUUUUAGCAAUGAGAGAACUUUAGUCAGCCCCUGUGUGAAAUAUACUCUAUUUUUCUUCAAUUUUGCAUGCUGGUUGAUUGGUGGAGUCGUGAUAGGUAUAGGAGUGUGGGCAUUCAUCGAAAAGAACCGAUACUACCAGAAAGACAUCUCCACUGUCUAUGAUGUCAUCUUCGAUCUUUCUAUCAUCUUUUUUAUCAUUGGAACCAUCAUCUUCAUAUUGGGGUAUGCAGGAUGUAUAGGGGCUCUCAGGGAAAAUGUCUGUCUACUCAAAAUUUAUUACUAUUCUAUGAUCAUCAUUUUCCUGGUCGUGGUGGUGGGCAUUGUCCUAGCAUUUGUAUUCAGGGACAAGGUCAAGGAGGAAGUGACUAAGGUUUUACAGGAGAACCUUAUUACCACAUACCAGGAUGAUCCAGACAAACAAAGCACCAUUGAUUGGAUACAAGAAAAUAUUGAGUGCUGUGGAGUGAAGCAGUAUGAUGACUGGAGUAAGAAUGAGUAUUAUAACUGUACUGGAGAGGGGCUGGGUAACCCCAGUCCCCUGGCCUGCAGUGUGCCGUAUUCGUGCUGUAGGAAACAGGACUCAAUAUCAACUGGUCUUCCAAAUAUUCUUUGUGGAAAAGAUGUCCUAAAGAUGGGUGGAGAUUUGUCCCUGAUUUACACUGUAGGCUGUGUAGAUUCAUUUCUCAUUCUGGCAGAGACCCAGCUCCCUAUUGUUGGAGGAAUAGUGAUAGGGAUUGCUGUUCCACUGCUGAUUGCUAUAUGCCUCUCAAGGCUGUUGGAAGGACAGAUUUUAGACCAGAUGAGCCAUUGGAGGUAGGGGCAAGAGGUGCAGUCAACAGAUGAAAAGUCAACAAAAAGAUAUCAACAAUAUAACAGCCCCUCCUGCUUAAAGUUCUUCAAAUCAUUCACCUGUACAUUCAUCUUAAUGCAUGUACCAUUUUCAUUGAUGCCAAACAAACUCCAAUAUGAAAUAAAUGGAGAAGCAUGCUGUUUAUUGGACUAGAAAUCAUAUCCUUUUUUCAGUAAUCCACUAGUGCAUACAAAUAGUGACCCAAAUGUAGCAAGGAAAGCGUGAGUAUGAAAUCUGCAUUUGCAAGUAAAUAAUGUUUACACAGGAUCACUGUCUAAUCACUAUUUGGUAAUGCCAUUUCUGUAAACAACUGUAAUUAGCGUUGUUGAUUUUCUAAAAUAAACAGUGCAAUUACUAUUAAAUUUAUUUUUGGAGAAAGAUAGGUCUAAAUUAUGAUACAAUUAAGUAUCAUUGACAACUAGGCCUACUGUCACGGGUGCAUUUCGAAAAGAAAAAAAAUAAUAAAAAUGAUCAAACUUAUAGUGAAAAUCACAAUACUUUUAAAUUAUUUUAUUCAAGUAAUUUUAUUAAUCAUUAUAUUUUUCUUAUCUACACGUUGUUAGUUAGGACGUGGGAGCGCGGCGUGCUGUUGUUGUUACGUACGUGUUCCUUAAAAAAAUGAAAGCAUUAUAAUUCGAUCAAUUCAAAGUUGGGAAAUAUCAUAUUUUAUUAUCUAUAAUUGAAAGUUCAAUUAUCUUUUAUCUUUAAAUUUCUUUUUUAAAACUACAGUUGGUAGACACUGCUAGCACAAGUUCUGCCUAUAUGUUGUUACAAGGUGAAGGUCAGUUGGUACGAGUGUGUAUUAAAUUUCAGAGCAGAACGGAAAGCAUAUGCCGUAGGCCUAUAUGUAACUGUGCGUAGCUUCGAUAGAACCAUUUUCUCGCAGUUUUUCUACGUCUUUGUCCAAGUGCUUGUUUGAAAAAGUACAGGGACAAAUUCUACUGGGGGUUUUUAUGGCAAAGUCGUUGUGCCGACAAAAAUAUUCAUGUCUUGUCCCUCAUACCUUCUUUUGAAAAUUGAAGAAAAAAAACAGUCCAAAUCCUCCCUACUGACAGGAAGUACACCCUUAAACGGCACAAAACACCCUAAUGCAGUGUUAUUAUUUACAAGCCGUUAAUGUGAUACUUGUUUGUUUGUCAAUUAAAUCUAAUCUGUUUAUGAAAUGGCUAACAACUGUUUUCAAAUCUUCUCGCUCGAGGUCGCAUAUGACGUCACAGAUAAUGUCGCAUAAAAUAUCGAAGAAAAUAUGCAUAUCGCAAGAUUUGAAUUUCAUCGCUUUCAAACUCGAAACUACGCAAACUGUUUCAUUUAAAACACAUGUAAAGUAGUUUUAGGCAUGAAAUGAAAUAAUUUUGCUGAAAAAAUUAAAAAGUUUAGAAACAAGUGAUGUGUCCUUUAAGAAGCAUAUAUACAUACAUGAUAAGUAUUGGUGAAAUGUUUAUUGGCACCAAUUUUUUUGCCCCCAUAUCAUCAGAUAGGACAUAUUAUGUUAUGAUGCUGGCUGGCUGUCAGAGGUCAUGUUUUCUGGACUUUUUUGUGUAACAGAUGCAUGUAGCUUUUAAAUAUGGUUACAACUUUUCCCUUCAAAAGUGUUUGCAUUUCUGCUCGAUUGGUGCACUGUGACCUACUUUACGGCUAAAAGUAGUUCAAACAGUUUUCCAGACUUUUUUUCAUCAUGGAUACAGAUAUUGCCUUGAAAUUUCAUCACGUCAAGCUUCCUCACAGAGGAAUACAAGUUCAGUUUGCAUUUCAGUUGGAUUGGUGCACCAUAACCUACUUUCCUCGAAUUUUUCUCAUAAUGGAUACAGAUAUCGCAACCUCCCUCAGAGAAAUGCAUAUUCAGUUUACAUUUCAGAUAGAUUGGUGCAUGGCCACGACCUACAUCAAGGCUUUUCUAUUGAGAAUGUAUGAUAUCAAUUCAAAGUGCAUAAUAUGCUUAUAGGCUGAACUUCACUGUCCGACGGGCAGAUGUUGUACCAUUUGUGGCCCAUGUUUCAGACAAUAUGAAAAUAUUAAAAUCACAUAUAAAUAGAAUGCAUUCAAUUAUCUAAUAGUCAUUUUGAUCAAACUAAGAGGAAACAUUGCAUCUUGCUUACGUUUUAAGUUUAGAUAAGUGUGAUGACAGAUAGAAUUUACUGAUCAGAAUCAUGUAAGAUGUAUGACAUUUCAAUGCUGUGAACCUCAUUUUAUGGACCAUAUUAUGAAUAUGUGACAAAUAUUGUGUUGCUUACCUUGUUUCUACAGAACAUCUGUAAUGGACUAUGCACUUUUUAGUUAAGAACAGAGAUUACCAGAUAUUCUCCUCAAUUUUGAAAGAGAUUAUCAAACUGUUCCUUUUGAUGCAGCUUAUUGAAAGUUUACAUUUAAAUGUAUAGAGUGACUAGUUGAUUGUGCUGUUAUUUGUCCUCAAGGAAGAUCAGUUCUACAUUCCUUCUUUUGUAAUUUUUGUUACAAUGUAUCUAAGUGUAAGCUGGGUCGGCAUCCUAGAUUAAACGUGAAUGUUUAUUGUGAUCUGUUACAUAUUUCAUUUUCCAAUUGUCAGACUUGAAACUCUUCCUGUUUCUCAACAUGUGUAGAUCUACAUGUAUCUGUGCAGCAUCUUGUAUAUGAUUUUUUUUAUUUUAACAGAUUUGACUUUUUUGCAUGUACCAUAUUUGAAACGGUAAAUCGUUUUCUGGGUAUCUCAGAUUUACAUUUUUUAUUAGUUUUGUACAUUGGUCUCUCUUUUUUUCAUCUUGCAGUUGAAACAAAAUUUUAAAAACAAAUAUGUGCAUUGCCUUUUAUGCUCCCUGAAAGUUUUUCAAGGGGGGGGGGGGAUUUAAUGGUCAUAGUGUUCAUCUGUCCUAAGCCUUUCAUCAGAAAUUGAUCAUAAUUGAUCACAAAUAUUCCUUGGGACGGGAACUUUUUGACCAAGGUUAUUUUUGAAAGGUCAAGGUCACUCAGAACAUAUACCUUAUAUAAUAAAAAAAAUUCCUUAUUUCAACAGAUUAAGAUCUCUCAGAACUUACAGUGUAUACCUUAACAGAUUAAGACUGAUUCUAUGUAACUAUCAAAAUUCAGUGGCCACGGUAUGUCACAGAUUUUGAUGAAAUUAAAAGAUCUCUCAGAACAUAUACCUGAAGUUAUGUAUGAAAAUAAUCUUCAUUUCAGCGGUUGUUGAUCUUUUGGACCAAUGUCUCUCAUGGUCAGUUUGGAAAGGGAAAGGUCAUUCAGAACAUAUACCUUAUAUAUGAAACAAAAGCUUCAUUUCAACAAUGUUUCAACAGUUAUUGUGCGUGUCCUUUGUCAUAUGAAGCAGUUUAUUGGUUAGAUGCACCUCGGGCAGCAUUCAUCAGUUUCACUGAUAGUCUUGUUUUUAUUUUCUAAUAUAUUUAUUUCUACAAAAAAUUGCAGGUUCUAAAAAUAUUUUAACAGAUGUAAUAUUGUGUGUACAUAUUAUAUUUUUAAUCAGAAUUUUUAUGAAUUUUUUAGUACAAUGUACAGUUAAAACAGAAUACAAUUCGUCUGGAUGUGUCUAUGUCUAUGUCAAUCACGUCAAUCUCAAGAUUAGGAUUAAAAUCCAAAAUUUAGAGAUGCGAAUUUCUGAUGGGAAAAGCUUUCACUGUGUAAAAUAUUGGCAUGUAUGCAUAAUUAAUGACUGGUUGUUUGUCUCAUACAGAUUAAAGUGGGUAAAUAGUCAUUGUAGAAAAUGGAGUUCAGUUUCAUCUUGGAAUUCUAAGGAAGGAGAUAAUCUCAGCUAGUAGGAAAAUUCAGAAAGCAGGUGUAUUAAGGAAUAAUUGUAAUUACGGACUUGUUUUUUCAUUGAUAAAAUCUUCCUAUAAACUAGCUUUUUGUAUAGUCAAACUGCAGGUUUCAGUUUAAUUUUGAUCUUUAGUAUUAGAAUUUCCAUGCUAUGACUGGCUUUUGAAACCAGCAAGAAUAUUUUACGUAUUUACAUCUACAUGUAUGUAUUUUUCCAAUAAUCAUUUAUUUAUUAUAAUAAAAUUGUGUUGUAAACAGUUUUGAUACUAAAAACAAAAAUCUCA
Molecule: RNA transcript, 4966 nt
Organism: Ostrea edulis (European flat oyster)
Lineage: Eukaryota; Metazoa; Mollusca; Bivalvia; Ostreida; Ostreidae
Gene name: tetraspanin-33-like
Exons: 8
Source: RefSeq, a predicted model, not a curated record